UACGAAGGGGGCGAGCGUUAUUCGGAAUCACUGGGCGUAAAGCGUGCGUAGGCCGCUGUGAAAGUUAGAAGUGAAAGCCCCAGGCUCAACUUGGGAAUUGCUUUUAAAACUCCACAGCUAGAAUUCGGGAGAGGAUAGCGGAAUUGUCAGUGUAGCAGUGAAAUGCGUAGAUAUUGACAGGAACACCAGUGGCGUAAGCGGCUAUCUGGACCGACAUUGACGCUGAGGCACGAAAGCGUGGGGAUCAAACAGG
Molecule: ribosomal RNA, 253 nt
Filed under: uncultured bacterium
Lineage: Bacteria
Description: partial 16S ribosomal RNA
Rfam family: Bacterial small subunit ribosomal RNA
Source: RNAcentral